Molecule: non-coding RNA, 74 nt
Organism: Podarcis lilfordi (Lilford's wall lizard)
Lineage: Eukaryota; Metazoa; Chordata; Lepidosauria; Squamata; Lacertidae
Source: the annotation of a GenBank genome assembly
GUUCAGAUAGCUCACUUGGUUAGAGCGUGGUGCUGAUAACGCCAAGGUUGCAGGUUUGAUCCCCAUAUAGGAUG